GCAAGGUUAAAACUCAAAUGAAUUGACGGGGACCCGCACAAGUAGUGGAGCAUGUGGUUUAAUUCGAAGAUACGCGCAGAACCUUACCAACACUUGACAUGUUCGUCGCGACUCUAAGAGAUUAGAGUUUUCGGUUCGGCCGGACGAAACACAGGUGCUGCAUGGCUGUCGUCAGCUCGUGUCGUGAGAUGUUGGGUUAAGUCCCGCAACGAGCGCAACCCUCACUUUUAGUUGCCAUCAUUAAGUUGGGCACUUUGAAAGAACUGCCAGUGAUAAGCUGGAGGAGGGUGGGGAUGACGUCAAGUCCUCAUGGCCCUUACGUGUUGGGCUACACACGUGCUACAAUGGCAUCUACAACAGGAAGCAAAACGGCAACGUUAAGCAAAUCCCGAAAAGAUGCCUCAGUUCGGAUUGCACUCUGCAACUCGAGUGCAUGAAGCUGGAAUUACUAGUAAUCGUGGAUCAGCGUGCCACGGUGAAUGCGUUCCCGGGUCUUGUACACACCGCCCGUCACACCAUGGGAGUUGGUUCUACCUUAAGGCAAGGUUUUAAACCCUUGACCACGGUAUAGUCAGCGACUGGGGUGAAGUCGUAACAAGGUA
This 602-nucleotide ribosomal RNA is filed under the name uncultured bacterium. Its description in RNAcentral is "bacterial SSU rRNA". It matches the Rfam family "Bacterial small subunit ribosomal RNA", at positions 888 to 1498 of the family's 1533-position model. The record is from RNAcentral.